This 420-nucleotide ribosomal RNA is filed under the name uncultured archaeon. RNAcentral describes it as "partial 16S ribosomal RNA". It matches the Rfam family "Archaeal small subunit ribosomal RNA", at positions 323 to 746 of the family's 1478-position model. The record is from RNAcentral.
CUACGGGAUGCUGCAGCUGAGGAUCUUUUACAAUGCACGCAAGUGUGAUAAAGCGAGCCAGAGUGUUGUUCUUAGAACAACUUUUGUUUGCUGUAAAAAGGCAGACGAAUAAGGACUGGGUAAGACCGGUGCCAGCCGCCGCGGUAAUACCGGCGGUCCAAGUUGCAUCCAUUUUUAUUAGGUCUAAAACAUCCGUAGCUUGUUUUGUAAGUUUCUUGUGAAAUCUUAUGUCUCAAACAUGAGGCUUGCAAGAAAUACUGCAUUGCUAGAGACCGGAAGACGUAAGGAGUAUGAUUGAGGUAGCGGUAAAAUGCGUUAAUCUUAAUCAGACUAACAAUGGCGAAGGCACCUUACGAGUACGGAUCUGACAGUGAGGGAUGAAGGCUAGGGGCGCAAAACGGAUUAGAUACCCCUGUAGUC